RNAcentral lists this ribosomal RNA (518 nucleotides) under Lacticaseibacillus paracasei subsp. paracasei. RNAcentral's name for it is "bacterial SSU rRNA". It matches the Rfam family "Bacterial small subunit ribosomal RNA", at positions 28 to 509 of the family's 1533-position model. Lineage: Bacteria; Bacillati; Bacillota; Bacilli; Lactobacillales; Lactobacillaceae. The record is from RNAcentral.
GAUGAACGCUGGCGGCGUGCCUAAUACAUGCAAGUCGAACGAGUUCUCGUUGAUGAUCGGUGCUUGCACCGAGAUUCAACAUGGAACGAGUGGCGGACGGGUGAGUAACACGUGGGUAACCUGCCCUUAAGUGGGGGAUAACAUUUGGAAACAGAUGCUAAUACCGCAUAGAUCCCAAGAACCGCAUGGUUCUUGGCUGAAAGAUGGCGUAAGCUAUCGCUUUUGGAUGGACCCGCGGCGUAUUAGCUAGUUGGUGAGGUAAUGGCUCACCAAGGCGAUGAUACGUAGCCGAACUGAGAGGUUGAUCGGCCACAUUGGGACUGAGACACGGCCCAAACUCCUACGGGAGGCAGCAGUAGGGAAUCUUCCACAAUGGACGCAAGUCUGAUGGAGCAACGCCGCGUGAGUGAAGAAGGCUUUCGGGUCGUAAAACUCUGUUGUUGGAGAAGAAUGGUCGGCAGAGUAACUGUUGUCGGCGUGACGGUAUCCAACCAGAAAGCCACGGCUAACUACGUGCC